CUUAGUGGCAGACGGGUGAGUAACAUGUGGGUAUCUACCCUUUGGCCUGGAAUAACACGAGGAAACUUGUGCUAAUACCGGAUAAGUCUUUACGGAGAAAGCUUUAUGCACCAUUGGAUGAGCCUGCACUUGAUUAGUUUGUUGGUAGGGUAAUGGCCUACCAAGACUAUGAUCAAUAGCUGAUUUGAGAGGAUGAUCAGCCACAUUGGGACUGAGACACGGCCCAAACUCCUACGGGAGGCAGCAGUGGGGAAUCUUGCACAAUGGAGGAAACUCUGAUGCAGCGAUGCCGCGUGAGUGAAGAAGGCCCUUGGGUUGUAAAGCUCUUUCGUCGGGGAAGAAAAUGACUGUACCCGAAUAAGAAGGUCCGGCUAACUUCGUGCCAGCAGCCGCGGUAAUACGAAGGGACCUAGCGUAGUUCGGAAUUACUGGGCUUAAAGAGUUCGUAGGUGGUUGAAAAAGUUGGUUGUGAAAUCCCAGAGCUUAACUCUGGAACUGCAACCAAAACUUUUCAGCUAGAGUAUGAUAGAGGAAA
RNAcentral lists this ribosomal RNA (535 nucleotides) under uncultured Pelagibacterales bacterium. RNAcentral's name for it is "bacterial SSU rRNA". It matches the Rfam family "Bacterial small subunit ribosomal RNA", at positions 91 to 660 of the family's 1533-position model. Lineage: Bacteria; Pseudomonadati; Pseudomonadota; Alphaproteobacteria; Candidatus Pelagibacterales. The record is from RNAcentral.